RNAcentral lists this long non-coding RNA (3066 nucleotides) under Medicago truncatula (barrel medic). Its description in RNAcentral is "long non-coding RNA (MTRU_LNC008755)". The record is from RNAcentral. Lineage: Eukaryota; Viridiplantae; Streptophyta; Magnoliopsida; Fabales; Fabaceae.
UUUCAUCAACCAUAGUCGUUACCCAGAAUAACAAAAACACCUCCACCCACUCAACCCUUAACCAAGAAAAAGUUUUUGUUCCAUUAACUCUGCCUUGUCGUUCAUUCAUCGCCGAGAAUCGUUAGGAUUACGAUUACCGCUGCAACAUUCAUUACUUGGGUUCGUCCUCUCCUUCGAUCUAGAAUCUCCCCGACUGAUUCAACCUUCUACUUUUUCUACUGUGAGUGAGUUCUGUUUUCUCCUUUGACUGAUUCGUACUAACCCUUCCUUCAAUAAGGAGAAGCUUAAGGAAUUCGUCGAUUGAGGAAAAAUAAAGUGAAACAGCUUCACCACCGUGGAGAAGCUUCAUCUCUUCUCCACCGUAUUACUGAUUCACUACCAUGAAACAGCUUCACCCAAUCCGCUUCCCUACCGUGAAACCCUCCGUGUUAUCCAUCUCCACCACCGUCUUAUCCUUCUCCACUGUGAAACCCUUCGAUUAUGCGAUUCACCAUCGAGCUCCACUCUGAGAUUCACCAUCGAUUUUGAGAUUCACCACAGCUUCUCAGCCAAACCCAGCCGAGAUUCACUUCACCACAACCGUCACACCAAUUAUCUUCUCAGAUUAUCCACCAUCGAGCAAAGGUAAAUUCAAUUUUGCAGUAAAAUUCCCUUUCAAUUUUUGGGGUUGUGGCUUUCGGCAUUGUGUUUUGGUUUUAACCUUGGGUGUUGUUUUUGUUUGUUAGCGCUGUUUUUGUGCGGAUUUGGGUUUCAGUUUGGUAUUAAGGCUGUUUUCAACAUAGGGGUCUGUUUUGGUUAUGUAUGCUGAUGAGUAGUAUUUACCAUGUAUUUUUUUAUUUUAUCCAAAAUAUAUCUUGGGAUAAUUUGCUAGAAUGUAACUUCUAAAAGAAAUAGUUGCAUUUAUAGAUCCUGUGAAAGGACCCAUCCUAUUUUAAGGCUUUCUUUUGUGUCAGGAUUUAUAAUACUGAGAAUUUCUUGUUUGCUCUACACCUCGGAUCAGACCCUAAAUGAAAAGGUGGGCUCUUAGAGACAGUUAGCACAUCGGUUGUAUAGGACCAUGGUGUGGAGGGUUUAUGUUAAGAGAAAUAGUGUAAGUAGGAAAUGAAUUGUGCAAGGGGAUUUCUGUUAUGGUUGAGUGGAGAGAGAAAGGUAUCGAGAGGGAUCAUGCAGUUUGUUAGGGGCAGAGAACAUUAGUUCCUUGAAGCAGCUUAGCUCUAUGGACAAUAAGAUCUAAUGCUAUUGUAUUUUCCUUUUAUUUAUGGAAAUAAAACUCUCUACUUUCCUUUAUUGGUUUAUUUUAUUCUAUUUGAUGUUUAUGUAAUAUGGGUUUGCAUUAACCUCCAUCAUAUAUUUAAUCUGAACUUCACGUGGACAUUAGUUUAGCUGAUUUUGUAUGAGCAGGAUUUGCCGUGGUCAUCAAGUUUAUACACAAGUUUGUGCUUCCUGCCAUUCCAUGUGCAAAUAAUAGCCUUUUGAUAGCAUAGGUGAUGUUAGUUCAAUAUAUUUUUUUCUACGUAAUUUGAUUUUAGCAAUUACUUUUCAAUAUAAUACUUUUUAUGUGGAUGGCUUGGUGAAACAGUAUUCCAGCACACAAUAUUAAUGUUUCUUUACACUUAUAUCAUAUAUGUAACUUUAGUUGUCAAUCAUGCACAUAUAUGGAUAUUGACGAUAAAUGAUGAACUUCAUUAUACUUCCUCAACUUUGGUGUCAGUACAUUUUCUAGUUUAUAUAUGCUUCUGUAUGUGCUUUAAAGCAGCUCGAUCAUUUAAGAAAAUGCCUAACUUUGCUGUAAAAUGUUAGUGUGUCUCUAUUGUAAAUCUCUUUCAAAUUCCUCUUUCUUCAAAUAUGAAUAUUAAAAUUUUGAGAGCCAUGUCAUGGUAUGAGCGUAUGAUUUUAUGGAUCAAGAUGUCACCUCUAGGACUAGGCGUGUCGCGGUGUCGGACACGCGUUGAUGUCCGACACUCCUAUGAUACCCGUACGACACGUGUCAAACCGGUGUCCUAAAUAAUUGUUUUUUUCUUUACUUCGACACGCCUAUGAUCGGUGUCCGACACCUAUAUAACACUCAUACGAGUUGUGUUGAACAACUCAAACAACUAUCUAAAACAAUUUUCUCUCUCUUGAUUCCGCACACCAUAGAUACAAGAGUUACAUAUGUUUUGAGAAAUGUUGAUCAAUUAGGGGUUAUAGACAUUAUAGUUGAUUAUAUCAUUUUUAGCUUUUUCUGACGGUAGAUAAAUAAAUAAAGGUCAAAUACUAUAAUAUCUUGUUGUAGAACUUUUUCUAAUGACUAAAUUGCUCAAGUUAGAUGUUUAUAUAUGUAUUUUAAUUUUUUAUUUUGGACCGUCUAUAAAUAAAUUAAUAUAUAUCUAAUGGUGUCGGUGUCCUAGAUUUUUUUACAUUAGCGGUGUCGAUGUGUCCGUGUCAGAGUCCAUGCUUCAUAGGACUUGAAUACUACCUUUUUUAUUAAUCUGAUGACUUAUCAUGUCCUGGUAUAUGUAGAAAGUUUUAAAACUUGAAUUUAUCAAUUCUCACUUUUGAGAGCUAACUUAUUUUGAUUGUCGUAGAGUAUUGUAUCCAACUAUUGACUCCUUUUAAUUCUUCUUUAUGAGAACAACUAAUGACUAUCCAUUAGAACUUAAGCGAGCAAGCUAUAAACUGUCAUGAGUUUCUUUCUAUAGGUUUUGUUGCCUUUUUUUUCUUCGUUUUUUGCUGCUAUUGUUAUUUCAGUACUUUAUAAGUCCCUACGUCUGUUUGAUAAGUUUAACUUCUGAAAUUGAGUCUCGUUUGUUAGGUUUUGUUGCAUUUAUCUGUUGGUGUUGUUGGGUUGAUCUAUGUUGUGUUUUCUUUAUAUGAUGUUCUUUCUCAUCUUUUGAUAUAUAUGACUUCAGUAAGAGAUGGGAUAGACGAGUUUUGAUGAUCAAUUACUUGUUGUAGGAUGCUGUGAAGAGAAACGAUGUAGGAAUAUUAUGAUGCAAGGAUUAUGGAAAAGUGAAAGACGGAGGGGAAUACACUUUGAAACACUGCAAGUGCCAUAACUUACUAGAGUACCUUUUGAAGGUUUAG